This 666-nucleotide ribosomal RNA is filed under the name bacterium SCSIO13092. Its description in RNAcentral is "bacterial SSU rRNA". It matches the Rfam family "Bacterial small subunit ribosomal RNA", at positions 56 to 768 of the family's 1533-position model. The record is from RNAcentral.
UGCAAGUCGACGCCCUCUUUUAGAGGGAGUGGCGCACGGGUGCGUAACGCGUGGGAACCUGCCCUUAGGUUCGGAAUAACUCAGAGAAAUUUGAGCUAAUACCGGAUAAUGUCUUCGGACCAAAGAUUUAUCGCCUUUGGAUGGGCCCGCGUAGGAUUAGAUAGUUGGUGGGGUAAUGGCCUACCAAGUCGACGAUCCUUAGCUGGUCUGAGAGGAUGAUCAGCCACACUGGGACUGAGACACGGCCCAGACUCCUACGGGAGGCAGCAGUGGGGAAUAUUGGACAAUGGGCGAAAGCCUGAUCCAGCAAUGCCGCGUGAGUGAUGAAGGCCUUAGGGUUGUAAAGCUCUUUUACCAGGGAUGAUAAUGACAGUACCUGGAGAAUAAGCUCCGGCUAACUCCGUGCCAGCAGCCGCGGUAAUACGGAGGGAGCUAGCGUUGUUCGGAAUUACUGGGCGUAAAGCGCACGUAGGCGGCUUUUCAAGUCAGGGGUGAAAUCCCGGGGCUCAACCCCGGAACUGCCCUUGAAACUGGAUGGCUAGAAUACUGGAGAGGUGAGUGGAAUUCCGAGUGUAGAGGUGAAAUUCGUAGAUAUUCGGAAGAACACCAGUGGCGAAGGCGACUCACUGGACAGUUAUUGACGCUGAGGUGCGAAAGCGUGGGGAG